Molecule: unclassified non-coding RNA, 72 nt
Filed under: soil metagenome
Description: partial internal transcribed spacer 1
Source: RNAcentral
UUGAUUUUAGUUAUUUGUGAACGUACUACGAACAAAACAAAAAAAUAUUAUAGUCAAAAAAAAAUUAAAUCA